CAGACCAUAUUUUCAGGGAUCGUUUCUAUACUUGGUUACUGGGGAAGUCUAGAGCCUCAGAAACCACGAGGAAGGUGCAGUGUUCUCUCCCGAGUGUGAAGCCAGAUCUUGGUGUUGCUUCUGCAACUGCCAUUUGUCAUCCAUAAUUGUCCUUCUCUUCCUCUGGGAGAAUGAGAGGAAGAGGAUGGCGCGGAGCAGU
Ailuropoda melanoleuca (giant panda) is the source of this 199-nucleotide small nucleolar RNA. Its record names the gene U3. It matches the Rfam family "Small nucleolar RNA U3". From Rfam's summary of the family: Small nucleolar RNAs (snoRNAs) are involved in the processing and modification of rRNA in the nucleolus. There are two main classes of snoRNAs: the box C/D class, and the box H/ACA class. NCBI's taxonomy places the organism in Eukaryota, Metazoa, Chordata, Mammalia, Carnivora, Ursidae. The record is from Ensembl.